Molecule: ribosomal RNA, 490 nt
Filed under: uncultured bacterium
Lineage: Bacteria
Description: partial 16S ribosomal RNA
Rfam family: Bacterial small subunit ribosomal RNA
Source: RNAcentral
AUUGAACGCUGGCGGCAGGCCUAACACAUGCAAGUCGAACGGUAACAGGAGGAAGCUUGCUUCUUUGCUGACGAGUGGCGGACGGGUGAGUAAUGUCUGGGAAACUGCCUGAUGGAGGGGGAUAACCACUGGAAACGGUAGCUAAUACCGCAUAACGUCGCAAGACCAAAGAGGGGGACCUUCGGGCCUCUUGCCAUCGGAUGUGCCCAGAUGGGAUUAGCUAGUAGGUGGGGUAACGGCUCACCUAGGCGACGAUCCCUAGCUGGUCUGAGAGGAUGACCAGCCACACUGGAACUGAGACACGGUCCAGACUCCUACGGGAGGCAGCAGUGGGGAAUAUUGCACAAUGGGCGCAAGCCUGAUGCAGCCAUGCCGCGUGUAUGAAGAAGGCCUUCGGGUUGUAAAGUACUUUCAGCGGGGAGGAAGGGAGUAAAGUUAAUACCUUUGCUCAUUGACGUUACCCGCAGAAGAAGCACCGGCUAACUCCGUG